ACCCAGACUCCUACGGGAGGCAGCAGUGGGGAAUAUUGCACAAUGGGGGAAACCCUGAUGCAGCGACGCCGCGUGAGUGAAGAAGUAUUUCGGUAUGUAAAGCUCUAUCAGCAGGGAAGAAAAUGACGGUACCUGACUAAGAAGCCCCGGCUAACUACGUGCCAGCAGCCGCGGUAAUACGUAGGGGGCAAGCGUUAUCCGGAUUUACUGGGUGUAAAGGGAGCGUAGACGGCGGCGCAAGCCAGAUGUGAAAGCCCGGGGCUCAACUCCGGGACUGCAUUUGGAACUGUGUGGCUGGAGUGUCGGAGAGGCAGGCGGAAUUCCUAGUGUAGCGGUGAAAUGCGUAGAUAUUAGGAGGAACACCAGUGGCGAAGGCGGCCUGCUGGACGAUGACUGACGUUGAGGCUCGAAAGCGUGGGGAGCAAACAGGAUUAGAUACCCUUGUA
This 446-nucleotide ribosomal RNA is filed under the name uncultured bacterium. RNAcentral describes it as "bacterial SSU rRNA". It matches the Rfam family "Bacterial small subunit ribosomal RNA", at positions 329 to 792 of the family's 1533-position model. The record is from RNAcentral.